UAGGGAAUCUUCCACAAUAGACGCAAGUCUGAUGGAGCAACGCCGCGUGAGUGAAGAAGGUUUUCGGAUCGUAAAGCUCUGUUGUUGGUGAAGAAGGAUAGAGGUAGUAACUGGCCUUUAUUUGACGGUAAUCAACCAGAAAGUCACGGCUAACUACGUGCCAGCAGCCGCGGUAAUACGUAGGUGGCAAGCGUUGUCCGGAUUUAUUGGGCGUAAAGCGAGCGCAGGCGGAAGAAUAAGUCUGAUGUGAAAGCCCUCGGCUUAACCGAGGAACUGCAUCGGAAACUGUUUUUCUUGAGUGCAGAAGAGGAGAGUGGAAUUCCAUGUGUAGCGGUGGAAUGCGUAGAUAUAUGGAAGAACACCAGUGGCGAAGGCGACUCUCUGGUCUGCAACUGACGCUGAGGCUCGAAAGCAUGGGUAGCGAACAGG
This 429-nucleotide ribosomal RNA is filed under the name bacterium. RNAcentral's name for it is "partial 16S ribosomal RNA". It matches the Rfam family "Bacterial small subunit ribosomal RNA", at positions 355 to 776 of the family's 1533-position model. The record is from RNAcentral.